This 201-nucleotide long non-coding RNA is filed under the name Homo sapiens (human). RNAcentral's name for it is "HSALNT0308642". Lineage: Eukaryota; Metazoa; Chordata; Mammalia; Primates; Hominidae. The record is from RNAcentral.
GACCGGUUCUCCUGUUCAGACUGCUACCACUGGACUGCCCUGAGUCUUCCUCUUGUCCGCCGGGCUGGAGUGCAAUGGCACGAUCUCAGUUCACUGCAACUUCUGCUUCCUGGCUUCAAGUGAUUCUCCUGCUUCAGCCUGCUGAGUAGCUGGAAUUACAGGCUGCACCCACUGUCUAACCAGUCCCAAUGAGAUGAACCG